Molecule: unclassified non-coding RNA, 303 nt
Organism: Aotus nancymaae (Ma's night monkey)
Lineage: Eukaryota; Metazoa; Chordata; Mammalia; Primates; Aotidae
Rfam family: Metazoan signal recognition particle RNA
About the family: The signal recognition particle (SRP) is a universally conserved ribonucleoprotein. It is involved in the co-translational targeting of proteins to membranes. The eukaryotic SRP consists of a 300-nucleotide 7S RNA and six proteins: SRPs 72, 68, 54, 19, 14, and 9.
Source: Ensembl
ACUGCAUGUGGUGGUGCAUGCCUGUAGUCUCAGCUACUUGGGAGGCUUAGGCAAGAGGAGUGGUUGAGCUCAAAAGUCUUGGGCUGUAGUGCACUAUGCCGGUCUGGUAUCUGCAGUAAGUUUGGCAUCAGUAUGGUGGCCUUGACCUCCUGGGAGCAAGGGACCACCAGGUUGCCUAAGGAGGAGUGAACUAGCCAGCUUGGAAACAGAGCCGGCCAGUAUCUUGUGCUGCUCAGUAGCAGGAUCACACCUGUGAAGAGCCACUGCUAUAUAGGCUGGGCAACAUAGCAAGACCCUUUCUUA